GGAGUUAGCCGGUGCUUCUUCUGUGAGUGAUGUCCUUCCUGCCGGCUAUUAACCCGCAGGCCUUCUUCCUCACUGAAAGUGCUUUACAACCCGAAGGCCUUCUUCACACACGCGGCAUGGCUGGAUCAGGGUUGCCCCCAUUGUCCAAUAUUCCCCACUGCUGCCUCCCGUAGGAGUCUGGGCCGUGUCUCAGUCCCAGUGUGGCUGAUCAUCCUCUCAGACCAGCUACGGAUCGUCGCCUUGGUGAGCCGUUACCUCACCAACCAUCUAAUCCGACAUAGGCUCAUCCGAUAGCGCGAGGCCCGAAGGUCCCCCGCUUUCCCCCGUAUGGCGUAUGCGGUAUUAGCCUGGGUUUCCCCAGGUUAUCCCCCACUACCGGGCAGAUUCCUAUGCAUUACUCACCCGUCCGCCGCUCGCCACCAGGGAGCAAGCUCCCCGUGCUGCCGCUCGACUUGCAUGUGUUAGGCCUGCCGCCAGCGUUCAAUCUGAGCCANANACACAACUCANAGAGACGGCGGCGCGACGACGCG
RNAcentral lists this ribosomal RNA (530 nucleotides) under uncultured bacterium. Its description in RNAcentral is "partial 16S ribosomal RNA". The record is from RNAcentral.